CAAGCGUUGUCCGGAUUUAUUGGGCUUAAAGAGCGUUUAGGCGGCCAGGUAGGUCCGUUGUGAAAACUCGAGGCUCAACCUCGAGACGUCGAUGGAAACCAUCUAGCUAGAGUCCGGAAGAGGAGAGUGGAAUUCCUGGUGUAGCGGUGAAAUGCGCAGAUAUCAGGAAGAACACCCGUGGCGAAGGCGGCUCUCUGGGACGUGAAUGACGCUGAGACGCGAAAGCGUGGGGAGCGAACAGG
RNAcentral lists this ribosomal RNA (242 nucleotides) under uncultured bacterium. RNAcentral's name for it is "partial 16S ribosomal RNA". It matches the Rfam family "Bacterial small subunit ribosomal RNA", at positions 535 to 776 of the family's 1533-position model. The record is from RNAcentral.